RNAcentral lists this small RNA (16 nucleotides) under Arabidopsis thaliana (thale cress). RNAcentral describes it as "ATSL137660". Lineage: Eukaryota; Viridiplantae; Streptophyta; Magnoliopsida; Brassicales; Brassicaceae. The record is from RNAcentral.
UUUUUUUUGCUUGCUU